GCCAGGUGUAGUGGUGCACACCUAUAAUCCCAGGAUCUCAGGAGGCUGAGGCAGGAGGAUCACAGGUUCAAAGCCAGCCUCAGCAUUUUAGAAAGGCCUGAAGCAAUUUAGUGAGACCCUGUCUCAC
This 127-nucleotide small RNA is filed under the name Marmota monax (woodchuck). The record is from RNAcentral. Lineage: Eukaryota; Metazoa; Chordata; Mammalia; Rodentia; Sciuridae.